UCGCCACUGGUUUGUUCUCAACCUCGCGUCACCGCCGUGAGCAGUCAGUCAGUCGCGUGGCGCGGUGGUAGAAGGUUGUCUCGGAACUGCUUGCCGAGUCCGAGGUCGCUCUAUGCUGACUCAGCCACGCGGUCUUUUCGUCUUACAUAGUGUAUUGAGACUUGGUGCUGUCUUCUGCCCUGUGUUGGAACCCUUGAGAGUUAGCCUUAUCCGAUUGCCGCUCCUCUGCUGCGGUGUGUGGAUCAGUGACCGGCGGAGACACUUUGUGCUUUUAUCUAGUUACAAAAGAGAAAGACGAGGCGGCCAGUGAGUGCGCGCGAUACACCUGAAAGACACCGUCGACGUGAGUAUUGGCGACUUCAAUGCCGCAAGAGGUGCUUCGACAGCCAGCGUGUCUGCGUGCCUGGAGGGGGAGCCAUUUAAGCGAGGUUCCUUGUUCUCCACCCAGAGAGCGCCUCGCCAAACAGACAAUGACCAGUGCAGUAGGCAUCGAGUUCCUUAUCGUCUACGGCAUCGUCCUCCUUUCAGCGAAGGUAUUGUGUAAUCGGUAGGUGUGGAUAGGUAAGUUUGAUCGAUGUGAGCUCAUCUGUUCGCGCGAUGGAAGAUUGUUCGGAUAAAUCGAAUUAAAAUCGAGGUUUAGAUCACUUGGUCACGAAGGAGCCACGUCACGGUUUUGAGAUUUCGUUUUCGUGCAGCUUGAGCAAUCAGUUCAGGUCAGUUUCCUUCCAGCAGACACUUGGUAGGUGUGUGUGUGUGUGUGUGUGUGUGUGUGGGUGUGUGUGUGUGUGUGUGUGUGUGUGUGUGUGUGUGUGUGUGUGUGUGUGUGUGUGUGUGUGUGUGUGUGUGUGUGAUGUAAAAACUUCCUCUCAACACGUAGAGAUAGCAGUACAACACAGAGGACAAAUUAGGAUGAAUCGACACUCUCCACGGCCAUCUUCCAGCAGGCGCGGAGGCCGUAUAAGGUGGAAAGACAAAAGUGAAAAUAAGUCAUCACUUGAGCGUCUAAAAGUCAAGGUCACUUACAUAGGAAAAUGUCAGGGUUUGAAUAUCAUUCUGAUUUUUAAAAUUCUCACAUUUUUUAAUAUUUAAUAUAAUUUUAUGGGCGAUUCCUCGAAAGUCCGGCAUAAGGCUGAGACGCCCGACUGAGAGAGAGAGAGAGAGAGAGAGAGAGAGAGAGAGAGAGAGAGAGAGAGAGAGAGAGAGAGAGAGAGAGAGAGAGAGAGAGAGAGAAUGUAAAGCGAGAUACUCUCUCUCCAGAGGGAGAGGUUGGGGGGGGGGGGGGGGAGGCGAAGAGAAAGUGGCGAAGAGAGAGAGGACCGAGAGAAAGAGAAAGAAACAGCAGAAGAGAGUUAGUGCAGUGAGUAUAUAGGGAGCUAGUUCAGUACCACACACGCCAGUCCUGCCAUAGAUCUCUGGCGCGACCGAUUCGCUACUUUGCAUCUCCGCUAAAAAGUAGACUCGGGAAAAGGCUUCAAGUUUUUGCGGGUCCUUCAAGGAGGGAGGCUUACCAGGGGUCAGUGUCAGAGCCUCCCGAGACGCUAAACUUUCUCAUUUUGUCUCAUAAGAUACGUAGGUGGAAACCAGACAGCAACUGGCUCUUCAUUAUUAUCAUUGCUACUGUUAUUAUUGUUUUUUUUAUGUUAUUGUUAAUCAAAAUCAGUGUCACUAUUCAUUAUUCAUAAUUGUUAUUACUGUUCAUUAUUCCUAAUUAUUAUUACUAUCCAUUAUUCAUAAUUAUUGAUACUUUUAUUCAUUUGCCUUUCAUAUCCUCUUGCCACGGCGAGACUUGGCUUGUCAUAUCUUUGUUACACACUAUUUAACCUUGUGUAGUAUUGCAGCGGUGUGUAGGUGUUGCUGGCCAGGGUGUGGGUCUUAGUAGAAACAGUGGGAGCAUGCGGUGGAGGGCCCUACUGGCCUGCUAAGUCCCAAGCCUCGGCCAGUCGCCACAGCCACCACACCCUUCCUGAUGCAGGCGAUAUUGUGCGGGUGGACGUCUGAGCUCCACCCCUCUCUCCGUCCCUCCCUCCCUCUGUGUCUGUCUGUCUGUCUGUCUCACUUCAUUUCUUGCAUCUUUGGUAUCUCGUCUUACUUGUGUGAAAGUUUCUGGUUCUUGGUCGAACGGAAACGAAUGCUUUUCUUACUCCCUUCACUUUACCUGUCACUGAGCAUGUUCCUUUUACAACGCACACACUAACUAGUAUCUUUUUUUUUCCCCCUUGCUGCACUUGCUUCUGCCCGAGGCGGCUUCUUUUACGGCAUCAGACUUAAGUACACUUAACCAUCGCGUUUAAAAUUCCUUCUCUGUACUACUGUGUUGUACCUGUGUGCUACGGGUAUCUGCAAACAACACACGCAAUCUCUCUGAUUUCUGAUUCUUCAAGACAGUUCUUUUUUCUUCCACAUUAUUCAGACUUUCUUGGGAGUUUGCGUUUACUUUAGAGUGUUUCUUUCUUCUUAGACUGUAGAAAAAAAUGACACUUUUGGCGGGAAAUCUUGUGCAAUCUUUCCGAAACCAUUUCCUUUCUUUCCAAGAGAGAGAGAAAAAAACUUUCUUGGUACGUGUGACAACACCGUUACAAAAAGAAAAAAAAACUGAAGAUGCUUUGAAACUGACUUUUCUAGCUGAACGAUACAGCGGUUUCACGAGUACACACACACACACACACACGAACACACACACACACACACACACACACACACACACACACACACACACACACACACACACACACACACACACACACACACACAAACACACACACACACACACACACACACAGACCGUCGCGACAAUGAACUUCUGACAUUAGGCAAGAUACUGCCAGUCCGUGACCUCUUACUGUGGUCGGUCGGCUUCCGGUACUUAGGAACGCUGGUCCGUCUCGGUUCCGUUGACCUGGAAAUUUCAAUAUUUGAUUCUCAGUGUAAAUAGAUACAUCGUUAUGCAUAUCGACUUUAGACUAGGAUAUUUUUUUUCGUGGAUAUCAUUCAGUAGGAGGGAAAAGUUAAAUUCCAUAAACAAUGAUUAGAUUUAAUUCAUUUUACAGUGAUUAGAUUAAAUUCAUCUUGUUGCAUCAUAAAAAUCCCCAUCUCAGUCUUUGGCUAAGGUGCCCCGCAUUGUCUCCCAGAGUCAACCUUUCAGUGACAUUCCCGUGACUCAGUUUCGUCCAUUCUCGACCCCCCCCCCCUCCCCUACCCCGUCACGUGACUUCACCAAUCACCCAAAAGAACCAUGUCCCCCCCCCCCCCCCUACAUGCACCUCCAUCACCAACCAACCAAAUCCUCGUGACCUCUGAUCCAUCAUCAUCACGUGACCUGUGAACCAACCACCUCCACCACCAACGUGACUACUGAACCGCUACUACUACUUAUCGCUGUUGCAAACUUGGGGUUUCUAAGCGGCAUCCCUUGCAACAUUUCUGAGUGCAAUGCCCUUGGAAAUCCCAAAUAUGCUCGGCCUGGCGACAAGGACCUUGCGAAAUCACUCUGACUAAAUAUUGACAACCACGACCCACUUGAUGACGACGACGACGACGACCUCGUCUUCCACGACUGCCUUUCCCUCCGACCUCGACGAGUUCCCCGGGAAGGGAGAGGGCAGAGAGGUCGUCCUCAUCUCCGAGGUCGAGCGUGAGUACCCGAACUUCAUGUUGGUUUCAGGUUAGAUUGUAAAGCAAACGCAAAGCAGGAUUUUAUUCAAUUAAUAACAUACAUAAUCUUUACACAACAAGAAAUAAUGUAAAAUUUGAUAUACUAUCUAUAUGACUUAGUAAAAAAAGAUAAGCGAAUAUCCAAAGCACAUUUAAAAGGUAAAGAUGAAAGAAGAUUAAGUAUGAAUAUGUAAAUAUAUGUAUCACGGGGUGGAAACGCCCUUGGUCGUAUGCAAGAGUUCAUCUAGUUACAGAACAGCAGGAGGACUUCAGAACACUUGCCCGGAGGAGCUAGCGAGACCACGACAAGGAUCGGACGAGAGAGGAAAUGGGAGGACGAAACACACGAACUGGCGAAGAAUGCGAACGGAGAGAGGGAAUAAGAGAGAGAAAAAGGACAGAAAAGAGUCGUCAGUAACAUGGAUGAGAAACAUAAACACAGAUCUGGACGACGCUCAAUGAAUUAGUCGAUGACAUCCUUUCAUGAAAUUACGAAUCCUGGAUGAUGUAAUGUUGAUAUUGAGUGAUGUACUGUAAUUCGCGAAUGAAGAUACUUUGUGUUAUAAAAUACAAAUAAAUAUGAGUAUAUGA
Penaeus chinensis is the source of this 4242-nucleotide long non-coding RNA. RefSeq lists it as uncharacterized. The record is from RefSeq and is a predicted model, not a curated record. The transcript is spliced from 2 exons. NCBI's taxonomy places the organism in Eukaryota, Metazoa, Arthropoda, Malacostraca, Decapoda, Penaeidae.